Quercus robur (English oak) is the source of this 1894-nucleotide RNA transcript. It is a transcript of the gene named AP2-like ethylene-responsive transcription factor At2g41710, with no coding region annotated. NCBI's taxonomy places the organism in Eukaryota, Viridiplantae, Streptophyta, Magnoliopsida, Fagales, Fagaceae. The record is from RefSeq and is a predicted model, not a curated record. The transcript is spliced from 10 exons.
UAAAAUCACCCCCACACACACCCACACUCUUCUUCUCUCUUCUUUCCCUAUAGUUUUCCCCUCCUUCUUCACUCAAAAUCUCUCUCUCUCUAUCAAACAAAUCAUAACCACUCUGUGAGACACACACGAUCUUUUCCUCUCUCUCUCUCUCCUAGGGUUAGGGUUUUUUGCGGUGGCUAUGGCUUCGUCGUCGUCUGAUCCUGGAUUGAAAUCGGAAGCCGGCGGCGGUGGUGGCGGUGCUGGAAGCAGCGGAGAGGCGGCGAUGGUUGCGAAAGACGAGCUGUUUGUGUACAGAGGAGGAUUGAAGAAAGCGAAGAAAGAGCGAGGAUGUACGGCGAAAGAGCGCAUCAGCAAAAUGCCUCCCUGUGCCGCCGGUAAACGCAGCUCCAUCUACCGCGGCGUCACCAGGCAUAGAUGGACUGGUCGAUAUGAAGCUCAUCUUUGGGACAAAAGCACUUGGAAUCAAAAUCAGAAUAAGAAAGGAAAACAAGUAUACUUGGGGGCAUAUGAUGAGGAAGAGGCUGCUGCUAGAGCUUAUGAUCUUGCUGCCUUAAAAUACUGGGGCCCUGGCACUCUCAUUAAUUUCCCUGUUACUGAUUAUACAAGAGAUCUUGAGGAGAUGCAGAAUGUCUCAAGAGAAGAAUACCUUGCAUCUCUGCGGAGAAAGAGCAGUGGUUUUUCAAGAGGAAUUUCUAAAUAUCGUGGGCUUUCCAGUCGUUGGGAGCCAUUUGGUCGCAUGGGUGCAUCUGAGUACUUCAACAGUACAAAUUAUAGUACAGGCGAUGAUCCAGCAGCAGAAAGUGAAUAUUUGGGCAAUUUCUGUAGUGAAAGGAAGAUUGAUUUGACAAGUUACAUCAAGUGGUGGGGGCCCAACAAAACUCGUCAAUCAGAUGCUGCGUUAAAAUCAUCAGAAGAAACAAAGCAUGCUGGAGAUAUUGGUGUAGAACUAAAAACAUUGGAGUUGGCAGUUCAGCCUACUGAACCAUACCAGAUGCCAUGUUUGGGCAUGUCCAAUGAAAUGAGAAAACGUAAAAGUUCUACUGUCUCUGCUUUGAGCAUUUUGUCACGGUCAGCUGCCUACAAGAGCAUGGAAGAGAAAGCAUCAAAAAAGCCAGAAAACAGCAUUGAUAAUGAUGAAAAUGAAGACAAAAAUACUAUCAACAAGGUGGACUAUGGCAAGGCAGUUGAGAAAUCCACAAGUCAUGAUGUUGCGAGUGAGAGACUAGGAGUUGCACUAGGAAUGAGUGGGGGAAUGUCUCUUCAGAGAAAUGUGUACCCGCUGACUCCUUACUUAUCUGCACCGCUAUUGACCAACUACAAUACUGUUGAUCCCUUAGCAGAUCCCAUUCUCUGGACGUCUCUUGUUCCUGUUCUUCCGAGUGGACUUGCUCGUACAGCUGAGGGACAAUAACUGAUUCAUCACUUAUUUGAAAACAAUUGUAAUAUUUCCCCUCCAGCCCCAGGUGAUUCUUAAUGGUUACAAAGACUGAGACCAGUUCAACUUAUACGUUCUUCCAUGCGGACGAAUGAUAUCACAUUCCCUUUUUAUCUACAAUUGGUUCAAAGGUGGAAAACUGCUUCUAUCGGGAAGGGUUUAGCGCUGCAUUAUGUGUAACAAACAUCGCCGGAAGAGUCUGGAGAGCUUAGUAGGGCCUUAAAAAAGAUGAGAAUUUUACUUGUUUUUUGUGGGCUUGUAUUUACAUCAGAUCUAGAUAUAGAGGGGAAGCUAUAAAUGUGUCUUUAUAUAUGUAGAAAUUUUGAUAUAUCCAAUAUGAUCAUGUAUAUUAGGAUUGCACUGAAAGAGUUGAAUGAUGAUAUGUUCUUGUUGUAAAGAAAAAGCUGUCUGUUCUGAAUAUGAUAAGCUCUGUAACAUUGUAGUUUUAACAUGCACAAA